Vanessa atalanta (red admiral) is the source of this 2920-nucleotide long non-coding RNA. RefSeq lists it as uncharacterized. Lineage: Eukaryota; Metazoa; Arthropoda; Insecta; Lepidoptera; Nymphalidae. The transcript is spliced from 4 exons. The record is from RefSeq and is a predicted model, not a curated record.
UCUGCCGCGCGCCGCCGCGUCGGCAAGUCUCUUGCGUGCCCUCUUUCUCGAAACUAUUUCUAUGAAGGGGUAAUGCGCAUUAUACGUCGCGAGUGAACCCUCAACGCCACCCUGCUUCUGCUACGCAGGUGACGCGAAAGAGCAGUGUGCAAAGUUGCGAUCGUACCGCGACGUGUCGGAAUUCUGCCGGUGAACACCAUGUGCAUUUCUCUGGCGCACGAGACCCGUCACCCGGUUCCAGUUAUGCAAUACCUGACGCGAAAAUUACUGGAACUUCUGCCCUGAAUUAUUGCUGUAUCAAGUUGGACAAGAAAAUAGAGGCAGCGAAGAUAUGAACACAAAUUAUAGCCGCGACUGAGGAAAAUGCGUUUGAUGCGUAAUUUUUUCAUAUAAAAAAAAAUGAACGAUCGUAAUUACCAAUAAAUAGCAUCUUAGGCUUCUACUAAAAACUUAUCUACACUAGUAUUGUAAAUGCGAAAGUAACUCUGUCUGUCUGUUUGGCGCUCAUAACAAAAACCAUUGAACCGAAUUUUAUGAAAUUUGGUGAAACUACUUUUUACCUAUAAAACCUGACGACCAAUACACUAAGACGCAAACGAAGCCGCGGGCGAAAGCUAGUGGAUGAUAAAUUAAAUAAGCUUUAAAUAUAUCUAACUUUAUUGAUGAAUUUAACUCUCAUAACUAUUGUUAUUAAUAAUGUUGUUUCCAACGAAUGAGGGAAUAUGAUAAAUUCUACGACACUACCCAUUUCAAAGACAUCGACUAUUGACUUUUGAAUAUAUCUUUAUUUGAGUUAAGUAUUAACUACAAAACUUUGCCGGUACAAAUAGUAAUAUAAUUCUGUUGUAUUGCUGAAUUCCGGAUUUAAGACUUAGUAAGCAACCCUUAUAACGGGCAAAAAGAACAUUUCAUUUUAAAUGUUUUGUAUUGCAUAUAUUAUUCUUGAAAUUUGACUGGCCCCUAGCAUAUAAGGCUUCUGAUACCGAUGUCCUGGGAUCACAAACCGUUUUGGACCAGUUAAAAGAUAUUCUGUCGAGAAAUUUUCACUGGCAAUCUGGAGUCUGAAAAUUGCCAGCGUUUACAUUCCCGUGUCGAGGAAUGUACAUGAAAGCUGUUGAGUCUGAACUCCUUAACUUCUGAACUGUAUUCGGUCGUGUCGGUUUGGUUUUUGGAAAUUUAAAUUUAGAUUAUCCUGUUAUGUGGUCUUCUUAAUUCGCCUUUUUGAUUAUCUGUCUAUAUGAGUACAAGUGCAUAUCUUGGGCAUAUAUUGAGAACACGCCAGUUUCAUAAGACACUUAUGCGUUUGAUAAAACUAUUUUAUGUUGUUAUUAUUAAUACCUCGAACAAUGAUGUCAACUUAAUUAGAUACGUGUUAUAUAAUAAGUGCUGGUACAUGUUGUCUCAGACAGUAAAUUAGUAGGUAGAUUUUUUAUUUAAAAUUUAAGUUUUACUUGCCAGGUUUUAGAGACGUUAGAUGUGGAAAACCCGCUUUACCAAGUUACGUCCAAUUAAAUACCAUGGAAAUACACAUAAAUAAUGCGUUUUGCAUAUUACGCUAUUUAAGUAAUUAAAUUAAACACCUAUAUUAAAAUGUGACCACGUGUCAAUAUUAUUAAUGUGUGCAAAGAUUAUAAUAUUGUUAAUACAGAUUGAUUUUUGCAGAACACAAUAUAUUACUUCGUUCAAAUAAGAACGGAUGGACAGUUUUUUUUUUUGUUUAAAUAAAACAUAGCUUCCUCAUACCAAAUAGUCCGAAUUAAUUGAUUUGAGCCUCCGACUUUGAAUUGAACUCCAGUUCAUAGAUUGAUCGAAUUGAUUUAUCGAAAUUUCAAGACACGACUUCCGUUGUAAUAUGAAAUGUGUUUGUAUAGCCUAUUCCAAUUGAAGAUGAAGUAAAGAUAAACACACCUAACUGUUACUUACAUAUUUCAGGCGAUUUCUUAAUAACUUUGCUAUAUUACGCACUAAAACAGUUCGUCUAUAAUAUAUCUUUAUCUAAAGUAAUCCACUUAACUUCCAUACACUAUACCAUAUACUUCAAUUCAAUGUUAAAGUUUUUUAUUUGUCUUUUCUCCUCCUGUGGUUGGAAUAGGUACAGUUAGUGUUUACAGGUGCGGACGAUUGUCAAGCAUAAGAGAAACCUCCAGAUUGAGGUCCACAUUAAGGUCGUCGUCUUGGGGCUUCCAGAACUUCCAGGAUCCAGAUUCUUUGCAAAGGAAUUAAGAAACGAAGUCGUUUUUCAAAUUCCAAAUAUAUAUUUUUAGUACUCAAGUUUUAAAAAAUAAUGUGUAUAUUUGUUUUGGUCAGUUCAAACAUGUCUAUAAAAUAUAUAUAAAAGUUGAGUCUAUUUAACAGACGAAAUUAAUUUUAUUGAAUAUUUAACUUUAAAAAUAACAUCAAUAAUUUUAACGAAGAACCUUGUCCGAACCACUUAACGAACGAAAUAAUCUGACGAAAUGGACUUCCGUUUGCAUCAUCCUGUCAAAUCUAUAAUUGAAUUAGAAUUUCGUUAGCUUCAUUUUGGUACAUAUAGUAAGUAAGUUAUUAAAAUAUACGGAACAGAAAAACCUAACUUUUCAAGAUAAUUGUGAGAAGACUAAGAAUUUAUCUAAAUAUGAUAAGUAAAUAAAAUUAUUUCGCUCAUAUUAAUUUAUCCGAAUCAGUAGAGCCAUCUCUUUGAACAAAAACGAAACUCACCGCAGAAUACUUUUGUAAAAUAACAAAAAGUGUAAUAUUUUGUUAAAUUGUAAUGUCAAAAGACCGGUAUCGCCGGUAGGUAGUUUUCAAUAUUUAACAAAUGAGGUACGGUUCUCAGAGAAUAGUAUUGUGGUUAUGUAUUUUAAGAAUAAAGUCACAGAGUGCAGGUAUCAAGCAGUAUUUGUUUUAAGGUUUUGAUUUAUAUUUAGCAUCGGAAAUAUUU